UCUUCAGGAGACGACUUUGAAAUCUCUAAGAUUGUUUAAUAUCGUCAUGCUCUUUAUUUUAUUUUUCUACUUUUUCUUACAAAAAUAUAUUUUUAAAGUAUUCUCAUCAUGAAAGCAGUGCUAAUGAAGGUACUCCAGUGGCGUCAACAUCAAGUACAAAUGAUGCCAGUUUCCCUGGAACACAUCUGUUUUUAAUUUGAGGCAGCUUGUCCAGUAUGUGAAGAGGAAUAUCUGCUGGAUAUUUUACAGAUCCAUGCCAGCUGUUGUGGAGACAGUCUUGAGGAGACCUCACCCAGACCAGAACAGGUUUCCAAAUCACUUGGAGGUUCACUGAAAAAGUCACUGACACAUGUUAAUAUAUCAUUUAUAGCUGACACAUUUCACACAUAGGU
This is a long non-coding RNA of Girardinichthys multiradiatus, 392 nucleotides long. RefSeq lists it as uncharacterized. The record is from RefSeq and is a predicted model, not a curated record. The transcript has 3 exons. NCBI's taxonomy places the organism in Eukaryota, Metazoa, Chordata, Actinopteri, Cyprinodontiformes, Goodeidae.